RNAcentral lists this ribosomal RNA (459 nucleotides) under uncultured bacterium. RNAcentral's name for it is "bacterial SSU rRNA". It matches the Rfam family "Bacterial small subunit ribosomal RNA", at positions 29 to 518 of the family's 1533-position model. The record is from RNAcentral.
AGCGAACGCUGGCGGCAGGCUUAACACAUGCAAGUCGCACGAGAAAGGGACUUCGGUCCUGAGUACAGUGGCGCACGGGUGAGUAACACGUGACUAACCUACCUCCGAGUGGGGAAUAACCUAGAGAAAUCUGGGCUAAUACCGCAUAACACUUACGAGUCAAAGCAGCAAUGCGCUUGGAGAGGGGGUCGCGGCAGAUUAGUUAGUUGGCAGGGUAAUGGCCUACCAAGACGAUGAUCUGUAUCCGGCCUGAGAGGGCGCACGGACACACUGGAACUGAAACACGGUCCAGACUCCUACGGGAGGCAGCAGUGGGGAAUUUUGCGCAAUGGGGGAAACCCUGACGCAGCAACGCCGCGUGGAGGAUGAAAUCCCUUGGGAUGUAAACUCCUUUCGAUCGGGAAGAUAAUGACGGUACCGAGAGAAGAACGCCCCGGCUAACUUCGUGCCAGCCGCCGC